Long non-coding RNA from Girardinichthys multiradiatus, 524 nucleotides. RefSeq lists it as uncharacterized. Lineage: Eukaryota; Metazoa; Chordata; Actinopteri; Cyprinodontiformes; Goodeidae. The record is from RefSeq and is a predicted model, not a curated record. The transcript is spliced from 4 exons.
GGGAAAUCCGUUGUUACAAUUUGCUUGGCUGUGCCGGAAUAAAAGGCUAUCAUCUCUGUAGCCUGCAGGAGCCCAGAGUCAAUAUUGGAAUAUUGUCAUGAGAACCUGAUUUAGUUUCUCCUCUCCAUUCUGACAUUUGGCGAACCAAUCCUCGGAGAUCCAGCUCAGGGAACAUAGACUGUUUGCUAUUCCAGCAGGGGAUUAAGAGCAAAACAUUGAAGGAAAGACUCACCUCAUCUGGGCCUCAGACUCCUCGAGCAAUUGUUCCAUCGGAAGCCGCAGACCAAGAGGUUUACUUUUUUCAAACCAUAUUCAGAUCCUCUUGGAUAUCUCCUCAGGUCCCACGGUCAUCUCCUGCAGCUCCUUCCACCUCCGAGUCCUUCGCCUGCCCGAUCUCCCACUGACCUGCAACUUCCUAAUACUGACAUCCCUGGAAAGCAUGCACCUCCAAACCAGACUGGAACCUCUCCAUCUGAGCAACCCCCGGUCUGCAAACACAAGAACCAGAAUAACCCGAAUCUCAA